This 110-nucleotide small nuclear RNA is filed under the name Spermophilus dauricus (Daurian ground squirrel). Lineage: Eukaryota; Metazoa; Chordata; Mammalia; Rodentia; Sciuridae. The record is from RNAcentral.
GUGCUUGCUUCGGCAGCACGUAUACUAAAAUUGGAACGGAACGAUACAGAGAAGAUUAGCAUGGCCCCUGCGCAAGAAUGACACGCAAAUUUGUGAAGUUUCAUAUUUAA